CUCUGACCUCAAUCAGGU
Molecule: ribosomal RNA, 18 nt
Filed under: Lentinus brumalis
Lineage: Eukaryota; Fungi; Basidiomycota; Agaricomycetes; Polyporales; Polyporaceae
Description: partial 28S rRNA
Source: RNAcentral